RNAcentral lists this ribosomal RNA (410 nucleotides) under uncultured bacterium. Its description in RNAcentral is "bacterial SSU rRNA". It matches the Rfam family "Bacterial small subunit ribosomal RNA", at positions 509 to 916 of the family's 1533-position model. The record is from RNAcentral.
CAGCAGCCGCGGUAAUACGUAGGGUGCGAGCGUUAAUCGGAAUUACUGGGCGUAAAGCGUGCGCAGGCGGGCUUUUAAGCCAGACGUGAAAUCCCCGGGCUUAACCUGGGAAUGGCGUUUGGGACUGGAAGUCUGGAGUGCGGCAGAGGAGACUGGAAUUCCUGGUGUAGCAGUGAAAUGCGCAGAUAUCGGGAGGAACACCAAUUGCGAAGGCAGCUUGCUGGGACGGUACUGACGCUGAGGCGCGAAAGCGUGGGGAGCAAACAGGAUUAGAUACCCUGGUAGUCCACGCCGUAAACGAUGAGUACUGGGUGUCGCGGGUAGUUGACCCCUGCGGUGCCGUAGCUAACGCGUUAAGUACUCCGCCUGGGGAUUACGGUCGCAAGAUUAAAACUCAAAGGAAUUGACGG